AACGCACCUUGCGCUCCUUGGUAUUCCGAGGAGCAUGCCUGUUUGAGUGUCAUUAAUAUAUCAACUUCUUCAGCUUUUGCUUGUUGAGUGUUGGAUGUGGGGGUCUUUUUGCUGGUCUUUCCAAGGUCAGCUCCCCUGAAAUGCAUUAGCGGAACAAUUUGUGGACCGUUCAUUGGUGUGAUAACUAUCUACGCUAUUGACGUGAAGCAGUUCAGCUUCUAACAGUCCAUUGACUUGGACAAAUUUUCAUUAAUGUGACCUCAAAUCAGGUAGGACUACCCGCUGAACUUAA
This 292-nucleotide unclassified non-coding RNA is filed under the name uncultured Cortinarius. RNAcentral's name for it is "sequence contains ITS2". The stretch from base 1 to 52 matches the Rfam family "5.8S ribosomal RNA", at positions 103 to 154 of the family's 154-position model. The record is from RNAcentral. Lineage: Eukaryota; Fungi; Basidiomycota; Agaricomycetes; Agaricales; Cortinariaceae.